UACGGGGGGGGCAAGCGUUGUUCGGAAUUACUGGGCGUAAAGGGCUCGUAGGUGGCCAACUAAGUCAGACGUGAAAUCCCGGGGCUCAACCUCGGAACUGCCUUUGAUACUGCAAGUCUCGAGUCCGGAAGAGGUGAGUGGAAUUCCUAGUGUAGAGGUGAAAUUCGUAGAUAUUAGGAAGAACACCAGUGGCGAAGGCGGCUCACUGGUCCGGUACUGACGCUGAGGUGCGAAAGCGUGGGGAGCAAACAGG
This 253-nucleotide ribosomal RNA is filed under the name uncultured bacterium. RNAcentral describes it as "partial 16S ribosomal RNA". It matches the Rfam family "Bacterial small subunit ribosomal RNA", at positions 524 to 776 of the family's 1533-position model. The record is from RNAcentral.